UCCCUGGUGGUUCAUACGGUAAAGAAUCUGCCUGCAAUGUAGGAGACCCAGGUUCGAUACCUGGGUAGGGAA
Molecule: non-coding RNA, 72 nt
Organism: Bos taurus (domestic cattle)
Lineage: Eukaryota; Metazoa; Chordata; Mammalia; Artiodactyla; Bovidae
Source: Rfam